Syngnathoides biaculeatus (alligator pipefish) is the source of this 943-nucleotide long non-coding RNA. RefSeq lists it as uncharacterized. NCBI's taxonomy places the organism in Eukaryota, Metazoa, Chordata, Actinopteri, Syngnathiformes, Syngnathidae. The record is from RefSeq and is a predicted model, not a curated record. The transcript is spliced from 9 exons.
ACGUUGCUCACUUCCUGCACCUUGAUUCGAAUAACGACCGUCGUACUUGACUACACCAAACAACACGUCGAGUCGUCACGGUACCGCCGACGAGGAACGGAGGUCAAAGUGCGCACGCGCUGACAUCCUCGCGGCGUACCGAUCGGCUGUGGAUGACGAGCGACGUAUCGAACCGGCUCCGUCCGGUCGUGGUCGAUUCCUCCUGGCCGGCGCUGCAACGUGUACGAGUACGGCUCGCCUAAUUAUCCCGGUGUUACCAGCCAUGUCCAGGCGUACCGGAGGCUUUAGUUGCUGUUUAUUGGAAAGGUGCAGCCGUCGCCCGGGAGCGCUUCAUCGAUCCCGACCGCCGUUUUCUUCUUAUUGACCGGCAUGACAACGUCUGCAGCUGCCUGUCACUCACUCGCCGGGAACUUUUGAUUCCUCCAGAGCCUCCGCUACUAGUACCCGUCACGGGAGAAAAAAUGCCGGCGUCUACAGGAUGUUCCAGAGAAGUCAGCACGGCGCUCGUAGCAAGAUUCACACGGCCGGGACGCUGCGGACCGGUGCCCGCCAUUUUUGUUCGCCCCAACUUGCCGGAGCUGACCAAUCGCCGUCGCUUUGCGGCACGUCGCCAUGGCGCCGGAGGCUAAUAAGUGCGAUGAUGAGAUGCCCUCAGGCGGCGGAGACGGCGAGAAAGACUCGGAGUCUUGUGAGUCACCCCCGGACCCACGGCGGUCGUCGCGUUGGUCCAGACACGCAAUAACAGUUACGCAACCACUGGCGCUCCUCAUGACCAAGCACAAGAAAACACGAAGACUUGGGAAACUAACGAAGAAACCUCGAAACCUGCUGUCAACUGAUUUCCUCAAAGGCCGAUCUGCACGUCAGUUCUGCUUCCCAGCUCCCCCCAGACACUGGCUGGCGUCGUGUCCCGGUGCGCCUCGUUGUUAAUGUAUUUUAAGGU